This is a transfer RNA of Aspergillus ruber CBS 135680, 72 nucleotides long. It matches the Rfam family "tRNA". Rfam says of the family: Transfer RNA (tRNA) molecules are approximately 80 nucleotides in length. Their secondary structure includes four short double-helical elements and three loops (D, anti-codon, and T loops). Lineage: Eukaryota; Fungi; Ascomycota; Eurotiomycetes; Eurotiales; Aspergillaceae. The record is from Rfam.
AGCAUGUUAGCUCAGGGGAAGAGCGCCGGGCUCAUAACCCGGAGGUCCUCGGAUCGAAACCGAGACAUGCUA